AAGGUGUUUCGUUCCUGGGUGGCUCUCGGCUGCUCAGCUCCCUCAGUCCUUUACCUACUCUGUGUCCCUUGCUGCAAACCUGUAACCCUCCAUAGGCAGGGCAGGCACUAGUUGUGGCAUCCCCUCCAACUCCCUGCUGUGCCCCGGCCUUCACACCUCCACGGGCAAGGCUCAGCUGUACCCACAAGUUAGGCCGUGAAACCACCAGCUCCUACCUCCCCCCAGCAGCCAGGUGUCCCUUCAUCACCUGCAGGACAGGGAGCAUGGCAAGGAGAAAGGGGACAGUGAGGGGAGAGGUCCUCAGGGCACAAGAAGCAGGCAGGUAACUGCAGACACCAUGUGGGUAGCUCUGAGGACCCCCCGCCAUCUUGAGUAGAGCUGGGCCACCUGGUGCCUCAGCAGUGGAGCAGAAGGAUCUGUUCCUUCCUUUUUGGAACUAAGGAACUAAGCUGGAGGCUCCAUCAGGUGGAAACAAGUAAUCAGACUUGAGUUUUGUCAUUGCCUUCAGCUGGGAGUCAGUUAUAUGAGGGCUGUGUUUCCAGACCCCAAAGGUUAGGGCCUGCUAGCUCUGGUUGGUUGCUGUGUGCCCUGUCACAGUGCCUGGUGCAGAGGGGGAAACCCUUACAGUUUAGAAGUUAUCCUGCUAAAGAAGGGUUUCCCACUGUUUCUGCACCCAAGCUGAAGCCUCUUUCAUGUGGGGAAUGUUUUUCUUCUUUGAAGACUUAGCAAAUAUUUGCCCAAUGUGGAUGUGAAGGAGGCACACAUGUGGUAAGUGUCCUCUCAGAGGCUACUGCAUUUUUUUUAAGAUAAACUUCUAGCUCUAAGUGGCACCAAGUAUUAGUCCACGGCUAUGUUCUGUAUUUAUGAGAAAAGUAUAUCAAUGGUGUAAAUUUUAUUGUGUACAAAUCCUACUUUUAUGUAAGUGAGCAAGUUUUUUUUUAAAAAAAAAAGGGGUGGAAUUGUUCUUUAUAUAAGAACAAGGUCAAAGAAGAGAUUUUUCUUUGAGUAUAAUAUAGCUGAACUGACGUGUAGUGGGUAAAGGGUGACUGGAGCAGGACCUGAAGCUGACCAGAAGUGUCUUAAAGAUGGAGAGAGAGUGUUGUAGGUUGUCGUGUGAUUGUCCAAAAUAAAAUAAGAUUUUUUUAUUUUGAAAAUGAAAAA
RNAcentral lists this long non-coding RNA (1161 nucleotides) under Anser brachyrhynchus (Pink-footed goose). Its description in RNAcentral is "lncRNA (ENSABRG00000017243.1)". The record is from RNAcentral. Lineage: Eukaryota; Metazoa; Chordata; Aves; Anseriformes; Anatidae.